Molecule: ribosomal RNA, 82 nt
Filed under: Candidatus Methanomethylophilaceae archaeon
Lineage: Archaea; Methanobacteriati; Thermoplasmatota; Thermoplasmata; Methanomassiliicoccales; Methanomethylophilaceae
Source: RNAcentral
UAUGACGGCCAUAGCGGAGGAGUCACACCCGGUCCCAUUCCGAACCCGGCAGUAAAGCCCUCCCGCGUACCUGUCUGUACUG